CAGCAUUUUAAAAUAUGUAUUACCGUACAUUGUUUCCAAUCGUUUUUCUUUACCAAUAGUUUAUCGUUGUAUACAGAUAUAAAUUAAAUUCCUAUAUCUGUAUGCAACGAUAAACUAUUGGUAAAGAAAAACGAUUGGAAACAAUGUACGGUAAUACAUAUUUUAAAAUGCUGUA
RNAcentral lists this microRNA precursor (175 nucleotides) under Cinara cedri. Lineage: Eukaryota; Metazoa; Arthropoda; Insecta; Hemiptera; Aphididae. The record is from RNAcentral.